GUGGGUUUCUUAAAUAUAAGGAAGAAUAAAACAGGGAAUUAAGUAUCAAAUAUAUACUCAGCAUUCAAACCCAGGGACUAAUAUUUAAAUCUGAAAGCUCUUUUAUCCUCCCAAAUAUACAUAUCUUUAAAAAAAAAAUCAAUGACAAAAUAAUCAAACUGCUCAUUACCUUGAACAAAAUUAGGUAAAUCUUUUUGUGCCUUGCACACUCAUCACUCUUUAAUAAUGCUAAAUCUCACAAUAGGGUCCUAUGAUUAAGUAGUCCCUACUCUGUACAAGAAUUGAAUAGAGGUCAAAUAUGAGAAGUUUAUUUUCUGAAAAUAUUCCAAAUGCACUAGCUAUUUCCAGCCAAGAAUGAUGAAAUCACGAUAAUAAUCAAUAUUCAUAGACCCUUGUACUGUGUAAAAAAUACAGAUGUGAGGGGUUAAUAAUGUUGAUGGAGGGCAAAGGGGAGGACUGGGGCUAUUUUUUCAAAGGAAUAGGAGGUAAGGUCACUAGCAGGUAGAAGAGGGCCAGAUGGAGCGCCCAUCUGAGAUUUGUAACCAGAAAUUUAAAGUAAAAAUAGUUAACAAGGGUAUAUAUUUCCCUCUGGGAACAUCUGAUUCAGAUACAAGCAUAAAAUAGACAAUGGUUUUAUAACCAGGGUCUGGGCUUUUCUAUGAACACCUGCAAGGUAGAAAGACAAGGGAGUUAGAUACCUGAUUUGAUUAAAAAGACAAAUGAAGACACAGGACAGGAUGUCUGGGAAUGAAACAGUGGUGAGUUUAAGGAAAAGGAGAUCUCCAGCUUAGACUGAUAGAGAACUAAAACUUAGGCCUUCACAUAAAUUACCUGAACUUCCCCUCAGAAAGCCAAAAGGGAUUAUUCUCCCCAUUUUACAGGUGAGGAAAGUGAAACUCAGAGAAUUUCAAUGUCUUGUACAAGAUCACAGAGUAAAGAACAAUGACAGCUAGGACUGGAGCCCAGAACUUCCAACUCCAAACUCUGAAAUCUCAACCCAAGAAUAAGGACGUUUCUCUAAGAAGGUAUUUUAUGGUGUCUCUGCUAUCCAUUUAGUUCAUUGCUCUCACAGAAAAUGCAUUUCCUGGGAAGAGUCGUAUCAACCAAAUGGAAAAGGAAGAAAAGAAGAAUGCAAUGCUGAUGGGCUGGGCAGCACAAGACUAAAGUUGUAUCUCUUUGUGACUGUUCUCCACAUAACAUGGAAAAAUAAAAUUUAGGAACUCCAAGACAUAAACAGAGUAUUUUCAGUGCAUCCUUGAAGGGAGUCUGUUCAAUUGUAUAUACUACUGAAAAUUUGCUGUACAGCAGAAAAAAAGCUAGUAUAGAGCUGCUUGUUAAAACUCACGAUGAGCAAAAAGAGCCUUCCAGGCAACUUCCAUCAGAACUCUCAGUUCAGAAGCCUGAGUUUAAAACUGCUUCUGUUCCUCAAGGUUACUAGGGAUCCUUGAGAAUGUGCAUGACAGAGGGAUGAUCAGAACUACAUGUGUUAUUCCUCUCCAUCCAAAGAGAUGAUAACUAUACUACAGAAGAAUUUUCACUGAAGGAAGACAAAGUCUAUUUAAUGCCUCCUGGGAAGCAAGAAAAUUUCAGGUAAACAAUUCCAAUGCAGAUUGUGAAUCUUACCCAACUAGACAGAUCCUGGGAGAUAAAUAUAACAACAGGUAGAACACACAAACAAACUAGCAAGCUUUACAAUCCAUUCAGUACUUUUACUUUACAGAUGCAAAGGUUUAUUUACUCAUGCCCUGCCUUAUUUUUCAGUAGAAGUUCUGAGUGAUAAGAACUCUUUCUAUAAACCAUAGAAACUUAUAAAUAAGGAUGCAAAACCAGAGCCAGGAAAAAUGCACAAAGGUGUAGAAAACAAAGUAAGAAAAAAAGAAUCAUUCCCUUUUUUUAUUUUAAUGAUUUUUAUUUUUUCCUUUAUAGCUGGUUUACAAUGUUCUGUCAAUUUUCUACUGUACAGCAAGGUGACCCAGUGACACAUACAUAUAUACAUUCUUUUCUCACAUUAGCUCUAUUAUGCUCCCUCUUAAGUGACUAGAUACAGUUUCCAGUGCUAUACAGCAGGAUCUCAUUGCUUAUCCAUUCCAAAGCAAUAAUUUGCCUCUAUUAACCCCAGACUCCCAGUCCAUCCCAUUCCUUCCCCAUCCCCCUUGGCAACCACAAGUCUGUUCUCCAAGUCCAUGAGUUUCCUUUCUGUGGAAAAGUUCAUCUGUGCUGUACAUUAGAUUCCAGAUAUAAGUGAUAUCAUAUGGUAUUUGCCUUUUUCUUUCUGACUUCACUCAGGAUGCGUCUCUAGUUCCAUUCAUGUUGCUGCAAAUGGCAUUAUUUUGUUCUUUUUAUGGCUGAGUAGUAUUCCAUUGUGUGUAUAUAUACCACAUCUUCUUAAUCCAUUCAUCUGUCAAUGGACAUUUAGGCUGUUUCCAUGUCUUGGUUAUUGUGAAUAGUGUUGCAGUGAACAUACAGGUGUAUGUGUCUAUUUCAAGGAAAGCGUUGUCUGGAUAUAUGCCCAAGAGUGAGACUGCAGGGUCAUGUGGCAGUUCUAUAUAUAGUUUUCUGAGAUACCUCCACACUGUUUUCCAUAGAGGUUAUACCAGAUUACAUUCCCACCAAUAGUGUAAGGGGGGGUCCCUUUUCUCCACACCCUCUCCAGCGUUUGUUUUUUGUGGAUAAUCAUUCCCUUUAAUAACCAAUAUUUAUGAUUUGCAAGGGGGUUUCCACGACUUGAAUUCAGAGUUCUUCCCCUCAGUGUUCUUGACUUCCUCAUAAUGCAGGUGCAAACCCCAGCUCAGCCCAGUCCCUGGCCUGACGUUGCCAGAUGGCCAGUGUCACCCCUAACAAGAAACUUGGGACCACCAACUACUCUUGGUCAACAGAUGCCUUGGAAGUUCUGUCUGGUUUACCUCAUAAUUAUCUCUCUUUUGGUUUUUAUUGUUAGCAAUGAUGUUGGUGGUUGGCUGGUUUGUAUAUAACCAUUCCUAAGUCUGGAUCUUCUGGUUUGGAAGUCACCUUCCUGAUUUGUACAUGGCCCUGGAUUAUAUGCUUAAUGCUCCGGUUAGAGCCCCAUACGUAUCCACUGCCACCUCCUUUGGUCUCCUGGUCCCUUCCUCUUGGUCAGUGUGCUGAUUCAGCCCUGGUAUUAAUUCAAGGUCUUCUCUCUUACCUGCCCAAUUUAAAAUGAAUGGAUUUCUAAUAUACUCUCGCAUGGGAUUUUAAAAAUCGGUGACAAUCCUCCAAAUUAAGAAUAUAAAAAGAGUCUUGGUGGAUGACCAAAGUCAUCAAUGAAAGUAAGUGGAACAAGAUAAAAAGACCCAGGCAAUGUGUAUGCCUUUCUUUCCUCCUAAAUCAAAAAGUCACGCAUUGUCACUGUGUUAUUAAAUUUAUUGAUCUCAUUUGUGUUGUCUGUAACAUGGCCCUAAAGCUUGGGGACAGGUAGAAGACAUGUUCAAUCAAAUCUGGCACCGUGCCCAGCAGAACAUUUAGUGCAUCAGCACAAUGAAUAUCACUGUGCUGAUGAAAACUUAAGGGUGGGAAUAAUUUGGAAACCCUUCAGAGGAAGGCAACAGAGAUGGCCAUUAAACAGUUGAAAAGUGAUCUACACUUAAGAAAAGGUUCAUGGAACUAGGCUAUUUAGCCUGCAGAAGAGGCAGUUAAGUGCAGCAUAAUAAUAAAUCCACAUUGGUGUGCUACCUCUUAUACAAAAGAUCAUAAACAGCUAUUCUUCAACUUCAGCCAAUUACAGAACAAGGAGGAAAGAACCCCAGUGGAGCAGCAGACAUUUCAGCUCUAGGCAAGCAGACAUUUCUUUUGAAAAUCAAAGUUUUAAAAACUAGAUUUAGUUUUUGUGGAAGAGAAAUUACAAUUUCUCUUCUCUCUCUCUCUCUUUUUUUUUUUUUAAUGAGACAGCAUCCUCCUAUCUCCCAGACAUAUUUUUAAAACAAAAAUCUCUUUUGCUCACUAACUGCAAUCUUCUUUCACAUUUUUCCUAUUUUACAUAUAUAUGCAUUUAAUUUAGCAUCAGACACCUGGCUAGCAAACAACAGGCACUGUGCGUAUUUGAUUUGGUGCCUGAAGACAGUUGUUCAGCCCAGAUCCAGCACGUCACAAAAGUGAGAGCGUCCAAAAAAAACACCUUGCAUCUAGUCCUUUCUAGCAGUCUGCUUAUAUCUCCCAGAUUCUCUAUUUUGAAGUCAUAAAUGUGCUCGCACAAGGAAACUGAACCUCCCAUGAACCCAUAUUAUUUUUAAGGUUCUUAUAGAUGGAUUUAGUUACUAAUUUUUAAUGCAGUGGGGACACAAGUGCCAUAGAAUAUAAACAAUUUCUCCCCCUAUAUAAAUCACCUUCCUCUGUCUCAUAGACUAACCCUUGGAACAGCUGGUAUCUGAGGAUGGCUGUUUACUUUAGACUUUGUUCUCAAGUAGAUAAGAACUGUCAGGCAGAGGAAAUAUACAUAGAGGGGUGUGUGUGUGUGUGUGUGUGUGUGUGUGUGUGUGUGUCAUAUAUGGAGACAUCUCAGACACAAGACAUAAAAUCUCCAUGAUUUAGGCUUUAUUUCAGUAUUUUAGAAUAUAAACAGGUCCAUUUGGUUGGAUUUAGCUUUGCUCAAUUAAAGCUGAAUUUAUGUCAUACCAUCAAGCAUCGGUAUCGACAUUUGGUGGCAUUCAAGAUGGUAUUUACACUCACUGUUCUGAACGUCCAUGCAACUGUUUGCAUUAGGUUCAAGCCUCCCGCUCCCUGUUUGUUGAGGUUCACCUAACAUAGUUGAACCCCAUAAAGAUUCCUGAAAGCGGCUCUUCAUGCUAAAGCAACUCCAUAGAAAGCUGUGCAUGUGCAGCACAGAAUAUAUCAGCCAUCUGUCCAGAAAAACGUAUCCAUAUGCUUCCAAGGGCAUUUGUUGAAUUAGACUUCAGCACAAGUUUUCAUCCUCCUGUUGGAGGAAGAGCAAUUCCUGCCCCGCUCCCCAUCAAAUACUUUAGCCUGAAAAGGCU
Molecule: long non-coding RNA, 4988 nt
Filed under: Sus scrofa (pig)
Lineage: Eukaryota; Metazoa; Chordata; Mammalia; Artiodactyla; Suidae
Description: lncRNA (ENSSSCG00030055362.1)
Source: RNAcentral